GUUGCAGAAAGAAUUGUCCGCCAGAAUAACUUGUUGUCGGCGUGACGGUAUCCAACCAGAAAGCCACGGCUAACUACGUGCCAGCAGCCGCGGUAAUACGUAGGUGGCAAGCGUUAUCCGGAUUUAUUGGGCGUAAAGCGAGCGCAGGCGGUUUUUUAAGUCUGAUGUGAAAGCCCUCGGCUUAACCGAGGAAGCGCAUCGGAAACUGGGAAACUUGAGUGCAGAAGAGGACAGUGGAACUCCAUGUGUAGCGGUGAAAUGCGUAGAUAUAUGGAAGAACACCAGUGGCGAAGGCGGCUGUCUGGUCUGUAACUGACGCUGAGGCUCGAAAGCAUGGGUAGCGAACAGGAUUAGAUACCCUGGUAGUCCAUGCCGUAAACGAUGAAUGCUAGGUGUUGGAGGGUUUCCGCCCUUCAGUGCCGCAGCUAACGCAUUAAGCAUUCCGCCUGGGGAGUACGACCGCAAGGUUGAAACUCAAAGGAAUUGACGGGGGCCCGCACAAGCGGUGGAGCAUGUGGUUUAAUUCGAAGCAACGCGAAGAACCUUACCAGGUCUUGACAUCUUUUGAUCACCUGAGAGAUCAGGUUUCCCCUUCGGGGGCAAAAUGACAGGUGGUGCAUGGUUGUCGUCAGCUCGUGUCGUGAGAUGUUGGGUUAAGUCCCGCAACGAGCGCAACCCUUAUGACUAGUUGCCAGCAUUUAGUUGGGCACUCUAGUAAGACUGCCGGUGACAAACCGGAGGAAGGUGGGGAUGACGUCAAAUCAUCAUGCCCCUUAUGACCUGGGCUACACACGUGCUACAAUGGAUGGUACAACGAGUUGCGAGACCGCGAGGUCAAGCUAAUCUCUUAAAGCCAUUCUCAGUUCGGACUGUAGGCUGCAACUCGCCUACACGAAGUCGGAAUCGCUAGUAAUCGCGGAUCAGCACGCCGCGGUGAAUACGUUCCCGGGCCUUGUACACACCGCCCGUCACACCAUGAGAGUUUGUAACACCCGAAGCCGGUGGCGUAACCCUUUUAGGAGCGAGCCGUCUAAGGUGGACAACGAUGCG
RNAcentral lists this ribosomal RNA (1050 nucleotides) under Lacticaseibacillus paracasei. RNAcentral's name for it is "bacterial SSU rRNA". It matches the Rfam family "Bacterial small subunit ribosomal RNA", at positions 438 to 1478 of the family's 1533-position model. Lineage: Bacteria; Bacillati; Bacillota; Bacilli; Lactobacillales; Lactobacillaceae. The record is from RNAcentral.